Molecule: small RNA, 180 nt
Filed under: Arabidopsis thaliana (thale cress)
Lineage: Eukaryota; Viridiplantae; Streptophyta; Magnoliopsida; Brassicales; Brassicaceae
Description: ATSL246470
Source: RNAcentral
UAAAAGCUUAAGCACGUUCUCCACGAAUUCUUCUAGCCAAUUGAAUGUCCUUAGGCAUGAUCGUAACCCUCUUGGCGUGAAUAGCGCAGAGAUUAGUAUCCUCGAAAAGUCCAACUAGGUAUGCCUCAGCCGCCUCUUGAAGAGCUAACACCGCGUGACUCUGAAACCUCAGAUCCGUCU